RNAcentral lists this long non-coding RNA (4248 nucleotides) under Gallus gallus (chicken). Lineage: Eukaryota; Metazoa; Chordata; Aves; Galliformes; Phasianidae. The record is from RNAcentral.
AAAUGUGUUUGUGCUGGACUAUUUGUUCACUAAAAAAGGCAGUAGUGGCUCUACUGCUUUUUAACUGUCAAGGACCUCCUCCACCAAGGGCUACUGUGAAAGCACAGUGUUUCCCUUUCUGGUGCUGGACUUGCUGUGAACAUGCACAAUCCAUCUGUCCCCAUUUGCAGAAGCUGCUCCUGCCUGACGCUAAGCUGAAAAACUAUGCCAGAGGACAGUAGCAACCCCAGGUUAAGGCCUGGUCAGAGGAUACUUCCAGAAGCAGCCCUCACAUUACUUUGUCAACUAUUCCAAACCCUGCAUAUAAUUGUGCCUCACUCAGCUGUCUCAUUCCCUGACCCAAGAGACAAGUAAUGCACUUACCUGGUGAGGACUCAAGCAGGCUGGAAGAUGAUACUGCCUCUGAUGGAAGCUUUGGUGCUGGCACAUGCUGCACGCUGAUGAUUUCUACCAUCAUCCAUGCCUGGCAGACGAAGAAAGGAAAGGUGUUACUCAGGUGACCAAAUUAAGGAUGUAUGGAAAAGGAUGAGGAUACUUAAUUACUUAGGGAGGAAAAAGAAAUUAAACAGAGAGAACAUCUCCAGGACUUAAGAAAAGUCUCUUCUUAAUAUAAUCAGCAUUGUGAAUUAAGUAUCUCUGUAACAGUAUAGCACUACAAGUUUUUGUAUGCUUACUUUAAAUGACAAUAAAAUUCUCUUAGCAUGAUAGAAUUUUCAUAUAAACAAUAUCCAGGAAUCUCUUUGGAGGCAAAGGAGCCAAAUAAUGCUAUGACAAUUAAAAUCUUAGCCAUGAAUAACAACUUAAUUUUUAUUUCUAUAUUUAUUUUAGCAAAUAUUUUACCUUGCUGCAGUGUAGCUGUUUCCUGAUGUAUAAUAACUGUGCACUAUUCUGCUAUAUUGUUAAAAAGGUCCCAAGAGGUUUUACAGUAACAGUAAGAAAGAAAACAGCUCAUUUGGCAGAAAAUGAAGGCAACAUAGCUUGCACAAGGUAUUUUAAAUUGACUUACCUAGAUGUCUGUCUGCUGAUUCUUGAUGAAUUCUCAGCAUUAGAAAGAAUAAAACUCUUUCAUGAAGUAAAAGUUCUGACAGGUAUUGACAGUUGUCAGACUGAGAAGCACACACAGACUAGUAUUUCUCAUAUAUAUGUUAAUUUAACAUAUUUAAUGUACGGAUAUAAAAAUACAGUAUCUAGACAGGAAAUAUAACUCUUGCUGUAUCUAGAGUUUUCUGUGAUUCUGUAUAGAUUCAAGCAGGACAUCUACAGCUGCUCAAAGAAUAUUUGGAACUGCUGGAAUAUAGAGUCUGUAGAGUCACAGACCUUAUAUCAGGCCAAUUCUGAGCUUUUUAGGAUCUCAGUCAGCUGCUAUUCAACUGCUGGCAAAUUGGAAAUCACAGACAAACAACCAAUGAGGUCUGAUAAAAUUACUGAACAAGAAAGUAAAAUUACUGAGGGAAGGGCAGAAAGGGUUGUGUAUUAGCCACAGCGUGGUGUGUCACUCACUUCUGACAGCAGGCCUUGUGAUCGGUGCACCCCUGGACGUUCGCUGUAACUGCUGAUCUUUCCUUAAUAUCUGCCUCAGGCUGUCCAGAGACACCAGUCAUGCAAAUCUGAGAAGAGAGAAUUUAAAUACAUAUAUAAUCAAAUGCAACAAAAAAUAAAUGCACCCUUUGAAAACACUAACUGUAUAUAACAAUCUGCUAUAUAAAUAUGAUACUCCGCAUGUUUCAACUGGUAUCAACAAUCAUAUAAUAGCACUACAUUUCUGCCUCCUUAGGCUAAAAUUAACUAAGAAAUCCCUUAAUGCUGAAUGUGGUCAGCUUUACAGCAAAGGAGGUGACACAAAUCUCAGAUAACCCAGCAGAUGAAUUAAAGUAUAUUCCAUGAUCAGUCUGUUUGCUUUAGCAUCAGGGGUUUUGUUGUUCUUGUUUCUCUUUUUCUUGUUGUUUUUUAAUGAGUUUGGGAUUAUUAUUUUUUCCUAAAAAAGAGAAAUUCGUAAAACAUAAAUGAGCAAAGCUGGAACUGAGCAAAAGAAAAAGGGGGGAAAGUGGAACGCGGACUUUUAUUUCAUAGACUUGUGUCUAAUACCAAAUAAGUGGCAACACCAACGUGAUGAAACGUUAACACAAGAAAAUGAAGCCAGGAGGUUCUACGUGUUCAUAACUUCAUUCCCAGCAAUGAAAACAAUGACACCAGAUCAGGUGCCUUGUUUCUAAGAGGAAUUUUGUUGCCUUUUGAGUGGGUAUUGACAGUGGUUCAACUGUUAGUUUCCAUUUUGCUCUUUUUAAAUAGGAAUAAUGAUACUGACAUUCUCUGCUAAGUACUGUGAGCCCUACAAAAAGCACUGUCAAAGGGCUCGCAGAUCUUAUAGUUCAGUAAUUCUGUUCCAGCACUAUUUACAGAUCACCAUUGCGGAGCACCCUAGAUAGGCAAGAUGAACAUCAAUGGUUACAGUCAAGAACUUGAGACUAAUUUCCUUAGUGAUUGCUUAGGAGGAAACAGUCACAAUAGUUUGAAACAUCACCAACAUUUAAAAAAGCAUUCAGAAAAAGCCUUCAUUCCUAUUUUCAGUUCUGUAACUCGAGUGGAAAUUCAGCAUUCAUCAGCUGUGGAAGAAACAGGGUCAUGUAUUGUCACUAUUUGCGCCUGUGUUGAAAGCAAAGAAUCAGAAGAUUUUUUUUCACAGCUAAGUACAUUGUUUGAUGAAAGAAAGCAGCUUUCACCACACAGGGUGCAUAAAGCAAAGAAAAACAGUCUCCAAAUGAUGAACGAAAGUUUUACAAUAGUACUACAUCCUUAUACUAUAGAAAUCCAGAAAUUUCCUGAGAGUAAAAGCCUUUCUGCUGCCCUACCGAUUUCUUUUCUAUAAUUCUGCAUACAGUUUUGCAUUUUCAGAGUUUAACUUCUUUGCUGGAUAUAAAGUUCCUUCAGGUUGCUGUAGCCUUAUUAAAAUAUAAAAUUCAAUGGAAAAAAAAUACAAAUUGUAAAAACUCCCUCUUUUUCUUUUUUUUCCUUUCUGUUUAUUUUUCCCCUCAACAUAAAUGGAUAUAAAGGACUUGACCAGGUAACCCUGACCAAGCCUGUUACCACAUUACAAUAUUUCAAACCAGUACUAAAAUUUGCAACAAAUCCUUGUCUACAAUCUGCUAAUGAGUGCCUAUAUAUACACAAGAAGGUAAACAGUUGUUUUAACAGGGCAUGUUCUUUGGAAUGUGAAUUGGAUUAAUUACAGUCAGUUUUUAUAGAAAACUGCAUUAUUGAUUAGGGAAGAGUGAACAAAGGUAAGAGAGAAUAAUCCAUGAAAAAUGGACAGAAAGAGACAAGGUUUCCAGCUGAUAUGAAGAAAAGCUGGAAUGUAAUCUUCUAGAAACUGGAUAGGGACUGAAAGCUUGAGUGAGGGAGUGUGUGUGUGUCAAUUGCCUAAUACUUCAUCAUUCUCAGCAUCGAUGUGGUUGUUGCAGUAAUGAACUAAAACUUAAGUCACAUAGCAUGGUAGCCACUGCCUAUAGCUGGCUCAUUAGUUCCAGUACCUCCAGCAGAGCUGAGCAAGACCAUGACAAGUAAAGUCAAGUCUUACCACCAUGUGCCACAUGAAGUAUGAAAUUCAGGGCCAUGGUAAUCUGGGACAAAGCAUUUUGUCCAUUGUGAUUCAAGUACAGUUAGUACACAAUUAAGUUGGAAGGAAGAAAAAGAAUUUUUUGCACAUAAACUGUGUUAGUAAGUGUUAGAGAGUUUGUGCAGCCAACAUACUCCAUAGAUUGAAGAAGGAAGUAGGAACAUCCAACAGAGUCUGUACUCCAUGUUGCAAGGGUCUUUAAACUUACUGUCACAAUCCAAUUAUCUAAUAUCCACAUAGUUAGGAACCUUGUUGUUGAAAAGACAAAAAAAAAAAAAAAAUUCACAGAUAACAGUAAUCCUCAGCCAACUCUGAGAGCUGAAGUUAUUAUCACCAUUCUCAGAAUCAAACACUGACAUAUUUAUUGUUAGAUCCUCCAUAAACUCCAAAAAAAUGAGGGAGUCAUUUCAAAAUAUGUUAUUUAUACUCUGUUGUAAAUACUGCACCACUAGAAUCUCAAAUAAAUACUUGGCCAUGGUCAACAGUAGUUCUGUGCACGCAGUCAUCACAAGGAUAACUGUGGCACUGGGUCAUUGCUUGCAGAAUAAGACACUAGGGUUCAUGUUCCUUCUGAUAAUUAUCUCAUCUAAAUCUCAGUAUAUGUAGAAAUUGUUGCUAGGCUACUUAAAUCUCAU